AUGUGCGCAUCACCACCACCGGCCGCGACCGCUGUCGUGCGGCUGGCCAAGCCGGCGUGCUGCUCGAGCACGAGCCAUCCCCACCACGCUAACCUCCGCUCCGCUACACCCGUGCUUGAGGAGCACUGCGUCAGCGCCCCCGCGCGCUGCUCCGUCCCCUGCGUCGUCGAGGCCCCGCCUCCUCACCCAGCCACGGCUGCGCUGCCGCCAACCCCGCCUACGCCACUACAGACGGCUCCGCCGCCCUGCCCCGGCAUCGCGUGUGCCCUGCCGCUGGCCCAGGCCGGCUCCAGUUCCGCACCCUGUGGGCCCUGCCGACUGCGCCUUCUCCAUCUCUGCUCCGGGGCCCCGCCGCUGGCCCGCCUCCCACGCGGCUCGGCCGGCUCCAGCGCCGCCCCGUUCAUGCUCGGCUGCGCCGGCUGCAGCUCCUGCCCGGCGCCUCGCGAUGGCAGCUUGCACCGUGUCUCCGUCCAGCUGGCUGGCCAUCUAGGCCGCCCGCUAGCUAUGCCUGUGCAGCGCCGGUCCCGGGUCGCCGCGACCGCACCCCGGAUUUGCCAGCCUCCGGCUGCGGCUGCUCCUCGCGGGAGCCCCGGUUGCCCACGCCAGGCACGACCUCCGCGCGACCCGGCUUCUCCGCAUCCCGCGCCGGCGCCGGGUGGCCGACUGCUCCGCGCCGGGCUCCGCCCGUUGCCGGCUGGCCUGCGCCCGACUCGUCCUCGACUCGGUCUCUCCGCGACGCGCUCCACCGCUGCGUUGCCUCGCCGAGCUGACCCUUCGCCGCUUCACCACGGCCUCGGCUGGCUUGUUCCGACGUCCCGGAGGUUACCCGCGCGCCGGGCCGGCGCCCGGCUGUCCGGCUUCGCCCGUCUCCGCCUUGCCCCCUCCGGCCAGCUGGCUCCGUCUCUGGCCGCGUCCGGGUCCUCCGCGCAAGCCGGCUUCCGACCUGGCCGCCUGCAGCUUCCGAACGCGCCGGCCACCGCUGCACACUCGAGCUCGCACCGUCCUGGGCCGACUGCUGCCCCGCUGCCGUGUCCAGCCUCCGGCUCGCAGCCCGCGGCACCUGCGCCCUGUGCGUCCGCCCAGAUGGCUGGGAGUAAAAAGAAAAAGGAAAAAAAUGGGGGGUGGAGUCCGGCUACUCGCAUGGAGUCGGAUAAAAGAAGUGGCCGAGUGCCCACAGCCGACUGCUGGGUCAAAAACAAAGAGAGAAAAGAAGUCGGCUGGGACAAAGAGAAGAAAAGGCAAACCCGUCUGGAUGACCCGUCCAUCUGCUUCGCCACUUGGACGGUCAGUCAUGACCCGCACUGCCGGCUGUGCCAAGCCGGCUGGACUGCCUCCUGCUCUGACGACACACCCAGUGGAUGCGCCAAAGCGCCCCCGCGAAGAAAGAGAAGACAAAGUAGUUGCCGGGAGAUCCGGCCCAACUGCUCAGCAGUCGGCCCGAAUCUCGGGGGCUACACCCAGCGGGUGCGCUGA
Molecule: ribosomal RNA, 1473 nt
Filed under: Triticum aestivum (bread wheat)
Lineage: Eukaryota; Viridiplantae; Streptophyta; Magnoliopsida; Poales; Poaceae
Description: partial small subunit ribosomal RNA
Source: RNAcentral